Molecule: transfer RNA, 72 nt
Filed under: Marmota monax (woodchuck)
Lineage: Eukaryota; Metazoa; Chordata; Mammalia; Rodentia; Sciuridae
Description: tRNA.Ala
Rfam family: tRNA (bases 9-65)
About the family: Transfer RNA (tRNA) molecules are approximately 80 nucleotides in length. Their secondary structure includes four short double-helical elements and three loops (D, anti-codon, and T loops).
Source: RNAcentral
UGAGGGCAUAGCUCAGUGGUGGAGCACUUGUCUUGCAUGUAGGAGGCCCUGGGUUCAAUCCCCAACAUACAG